Molecule: ribosomal RNA, 432 nt
Filed under: uncultured bacterium
Lineage: Bacteria
Description: bacterial SSU rRNA
Rfam family: Bacterial small subunit ribosomal RNA
Source: RNAcentral
AUUGAACGCUGGCGGCAUGCCUUACACAUGCAAGUCGAACGGCAGCACGGGAGCAAUCCUGGUGGCGAGUGGCGAACGGGUGAGUAAUAUAUCGGAACGUGCCCAGUCGUGGGGAUAACGUAGCGAAAGCUACGCUAAUACCGCAUACGAUCUAUGGAUGAAAGCGGGGGAUCGCAAGACCUCGCGCGAUUGGAGCGGCCGAUAUCAGAUUAGGUAGUUGGUGAGGUAAAGGCUCACCAAGCCGACGAUCUGUAGCUGGUCUGAGAGGACGACCAGCCACACUGGGACUGAGACACGGCCCAGACUCCUACGGGAGGCAGCAGUGGGGGAAUUUUUGGGACAAUGGGCGCAAGCCUGAUCCAGCAAUGCCGCGUGCAGGAUGAAGGCCUCGGUUGUAACUAGCUUUGUACGGUAACGGUAAACGGGUACGGU